Molecule: small RNA, 148 nt
Filed under: Paenochrobactrum gallinarii
Lineage: Bacteria; Pseudomonadati; Pseudomonadota; Alphaproteobacteria; Hyphomicrobiales; Brucellaceae
Description: Alphaproteobacterial sRNA ar45
Rfam family: Alphaproteobacterial sRNA ar45
Source: Rfam by way of RNAcentral
GCCCAAAGUCGCACGUGCCUGUGGGUGUCCGCCGGUCCUCAAAUGGUGAGGGAAAACCGGUACGGUACCUGGACCUAACCGCUCCAGUUGAUCUGAUGGCCAACCGCCAGAUCAAGGACAUCUUGAAGCAACGACGGUGCGGGCCUUU